Molecule: long non-coding RNA, 6573 nt
Filed under: Nicotiana benthamiana
Lineage: Eukaryota; Viridiplantae; Streptophyta; Magnoliopsida; Solanales; Solanaceae
Description: long non-coding RNA (NBEN_LNC042072)
Source: RNAcentral
AAGAUCUCAAACUUUGUCUCUAUCUCUCUUUAACCUUACCUUCUUUUCAUUGAAUCAAUGAGAAUGAUGAAGAUUAACAUGGUGUCAUAGCUCAGAUCCGUGUUCAUCUAGUGUUACACUUCUGAUCGAUUCUACCCUCGCAAGUUUUUGUUGAUUUUUUCGAAGUUCAACAGUGUUUGUCGAUUCAGUGAUAUUUUCGGUUGAUUCUUAUAUUUCCGGUGGGUUUUCUUUGUGCAAUGGAGUUUUUCGGUGUUAAAUCUGAAGGUUUGAUCGAUAUUCUUCAGGAUUUGACCGCUUGUUCGAGCUAGGGUUUUGAGCUAGGAUUUCGAGCUAAGGUUUUCUCCUUCGAUUUUCCUUAACAUUGAAGGUCGUUCUCUUUCCGUUUUUUCGAAAGAGGCUGGUAUACCUAUUCUAUUUUUCCUCUAUUCCGGUUAUAUAGUUGUUUGUUAUUCUCAUUAUUUUAGCUGAUUUUUUUAAUUUGUUGCCAAUAUGACAGAGCUGUAAUUUUGAUCCCACUAAAACCCCUGCAUCUUCUACUGGUUCCCGUACUGUGUUUUACGAGGACGAUUAUACCCAUCCAUGUCACCCCUUAUAUGUUAAUCCUUAUGAUGUACUUGGGACUUCUCUGGUCUCCGCUCCUUCUGAUGGAACAUGUUAUGGUAGUUCGAGACGUACUGUGUUUGUUGCUUUGUCUAUUAUAAAUAAAACUGAUUUUAUAACUGGUGCUAAUAGAUCAACCUUAGCUAGACAAUGGCAAAAGUGCAAUAAUCUUGUAAUAUCUUGGCUGGUAAACUCCUUGUCUAAAGAUAUUGCUUGAAGUGUAGAAUAUUCAGAAUGCUAAAGAUAUAUGGAAUGAAUUAGAAGAGAGAUAUAGUAAAGCUGAUGGUACCAAAGUCUUUGAGUUUAAAAAGGAACUGCCUAUAUCUCUCAAGGCUCACUCGAUAUAGCAUCCUAUUUCUAUAAGAUAAAAUAGUUGUGGGAUGAAAUUACCUCCAUCUCAGCUGGUAGGGCAAGAGUUUGUACUUGUAGGGCUAUCAAUUCCUUAUGGGUCUAAAUGAAACUUAUGUUCAAACCAGGAGUAACAUCUUAAUGAUGAAGCCUCUUCUUUCUGUUGGUACAGUCUAUAGUAUUCUCUUGUCUGAUGAGAAGCAGAGGCGGGUAUUUGUUAGGACUCAAUUUCCCUCUAAUUCUGCUUCCUUCACUAAUGCUGUGCUGAACCCUACACCAACUCACAAUGUUGUUGUGUCAAAGCCUAAUUUCCCUUCCAAGGUCUUUUUUAAGUCUACUAGGUCUUCUGGGGUAUGCAAAUACUGCCAAAACCUGGUCACAAUAUUGACAUAUGCUAUAAGUCGCAUGGUUUUCCUCCAAAUUUUAGACCUACAAAGAAUUUGGGCCUCAAAAGGUCAGUUGCUCAUGUUGAGCUUGAAUCCAACACAAUGCCUAGUAUUUCUAUUAUGGAGUGUGGUGUUGAUGUGUCUCAAUCUCACUGUCAAACUUCCUUUGUUGUGCCUGGCCUUCCCAAGUACCAGUAUUCCCAACUAAUGAUGUUACUUCAACAAGCCUAAAUCACUGCUUCCCCUCCUGGUUCCAACCUCAUAGGGUCUACCAACUUUGCUGGUAGAGAGUGCCUUAUGGAGCUUGUAUGAUGAGUAAAGUAGAUGGAAUAGUUUGGAUAAUAGAUUCAGGAGCAUCUGAUCAUAUGACCUCCAUUAAAAGAUUGCUUUUAAUAUACAAACUUUACUUGUUCCUUAUUUAGUCUCUCUUCCCAAUGGCAAUAAAGUCAAAGUUACUAAUAUUGGCUUUGUAGUCUUAUUUCUUGAUCUUAUUCUUCACAAUAUUCUUUACAUUCCUAGUUUCCAAUAUAAGCUCAUUAGUGUUCAUAAAAUGUUAUGUCAUUAUGCUGAUAUUGUACAGUUUAUCAAGGCUGCUUGCACUCUACAAGGCCCUUCACUGAAGAAGCCAGUGGUCCUUGGUAGGUUGGAUAAUGGUCUUUACAAACUCUUCCAACAAGCUACUUCUGCUGGAAAAUAGUUUUUCGUUCCAAUUUCUCUAUUGUGUUAAUGCUUCUAAUUCCGUUUCUUGUUCUUUUCCUGCAAUUAGUGAUACAUCCUCUGUAAAUACCAUUGAUGUACCUAAUAAAGUCAACAAUGAUGAUGUUGCUUAGUACUAUAGACUGGACAUGUUACCUUCUCUAAAAUGAAACAUAUGAAUAAUAUUGGCUAUAUUUUUUCUUCUUAACAAUUUUUUACUUGUCUUAUAUGUCCUUUAGCAAGACAAACAAGAUUGCCUUUCCAUCACAGUUCUAUACAAACUACUAAAGCAUUUCAAUUUAUUCACACAGAUACCUGGGGUCCAUAUUUUACACCUACCUAUACUGGCUCUAUGUAUUUUCUAACCAUUAUUGAUGACUAUACUAGAGCCACUUGGACUCAUAUCAUGGGUGCCAAGAGCAAUACUUUUGAUCUUCUCAAAACUUUUAUUGCCAUGGUUGAAACUCAGUGUAAGUCUGUAGUCCUAAUAGUUAGAAGUAAUAACGCCCUUGAAUUGGGCUCCAGUAUUGCAGGUUCUGCCUAUUUCUCCAGUAAAGUAAUUAUUCGUCAAACUUCAUAUCCAUACACUCCACAAUAAAAUGAAGUGGUGAGAGAAAAUAUAAACAUUUACUUGAGACAACUAGAGUUGUUCUCUUUCAAUCUCAUCUUCCCAUUCCUUUCUAGGCAUAUUGUAUUCUUACUGCCACAUACUUUGUCAAUAGGUUGCCUUCCAUUUUACUUCUUGGGAAAACUCCUUAUAAAAUGUUGUUUGGAUCUGUUCUUGCAUAUUCUCAUCUUAGAGCUUUUUUGUGUCUUUGUUACUCUAUUGAUACCAAACCGCUUAAAAACAAAUUUCAUCCUAUGUCUAUUCCAUGUGUCUUUAUAGGAUAUCCUUUUGCUAAGAAAGGAUACAAAUUAUAUAAUCUCUCUAGAAAAGCAGUAUUCAUCUCAAAGGGAUGUUAUUUUUAAGGAACACAUUUUCUCUUUCCUUAGUUCAUCUGUUGGUUACCUAAUUUCCUUUCUCCUUUAUCUUCAGACACUUGUGAUCCUUAUCCUCUCCCUCCCUUUCUCCUUCAUCUUCCUCUUCUCCGUCUUCUCCUUCUUCCCUUGAACCUUCCUCCCCUAUUCUUUCUUCUCCUUCUUAUUCUGGUUCUCCUUCACCUUCCUGCAAUCCUCCUAUUUCUUCCUCUCCUACUUCUGAUCUUCAUUUGCGAAGAUCUCCCGGACCUCAUAAUCCUCCUACUUAUCUUAAAGACUUUUUCUGGCAUUCAUCUUCUCUCAUUCUUCUAUCCAGUCAUGAUGGUCCUUCUAUUACUCAGCUUCAUAUUCCCGAACCUCACUCCUACUCCCAAGCAGCAAUUGUCCCUGAGUGGCAAGAUGCUAUGAGGAAGGAAUUUGAGGCCUUGGAAGCUAACAAAACUUUAGAAAUUGUUCAGCUGUCCCAUAGCAAAAAGCCUAUUGGUUGCAAAUAUAUUUACAAGGUAAAGUAUAAAGUUGAUGGGAAUAUAGAGAGGUAUAAGGCUAGAUUAGUUGUAAGCGGUAAUACUCACAUGGAGGGUGUUGAUUUCCAAGACAUUCUCUCAUGUUGUCAAAAUGUCUAUAUAGGCCGAGGCAGCCUUCUAGGCAGUGGUAUGCUAAGUUAUCUCAAGCCUUACAUUCUAGGGGUUAUACACAUUUCCUCAAUAACUACUCUUUGUUCACUAAGGGUUCUGGGAACUCUAUGGUUAUUUUGGUUGUCUAUGUGGAUGAUAUUAACUGGAACUGAUGAGUCCAAAACUUUUUCUCUUAAGGCUUUCUUGGAUCUUCAUUUUAAAAUAAAGACCUUGGCUCUCUUAAUUACUUUCUUGGGAUCAUACAUCUUCUAGGGUUCUCUUGCAUCAGAAGAAGUUUAUAUAUGAUCUUUUAGCUGUUUUUAACUCUUAUGAUUGCUCUUCUGGUUCUUGUCCCCUUGAGUUAAAUGUGAAGGUAAAGGCUAAAGAGGGGGAUUCUCUCCCUAAUCCUGAGAAUUAUAGAAGCCUCAUUGAUAAGCUCAGUUUACUCACCCACACCAUACUUGACCUCAGUUUUCUUAUGCAAUAUCUCAAUCAGUUCAUGCAACAACCCUGCUUUCCUCACAUAAAGGCAACUUUGCUCCUGUUAAGGUAUCUCAGAGGGACUUUUGAUUUGGCCUAUUCUUCUCCGAUUAUUAUGAUCUCUCUUUGCAGGCUUAUUGUGAUAGUGAUUGAGGAUCUUGCCCUGAUAACGGAAGAUCUGUUUCUGGUUUAUAUAUUUUUCUUGGUGGCAGUCUCAUUGGGUGGAAAUCCAAGAAAUAAGCAGUGGUCUCUUUGUGUUUAGCUGAAGUUGAGUAUAGAUCUAUGAGCAAGGUUGUGACAGAAAUUACUUGGGUAUGUAGGCUCCUAUCUGAUCUUGGGUUAUCUUCUGAUUCUCUUGUUCCUCUAUAUUGUGACAGAAUUUCGGCCAUUUAUAUUGCUCACAAUCUGGUUUUCCAUGAGCGGACCAAACACAUUGAGUUGGAUUACCAUUUUGUUCGUACCAAGCCUGCUGACGGUCUCAUUAGUUUGUCUCACACUUCUAGUGCUUCUCUUACGUUAUAUACGUAAUGUAAUAUGGUUAUAUUAGGUACAUAUGAUUAGGUAUAACAUCACACUUGUCACAUGUUAUGUUUUGGAGUCAAAGCACGUUGCAAAAUAAAGGCCGACAAAAGUUAUCGUAAAUUUCUAUAAUAAAUUUUCUAAAUUUUGGGUCAAAUGUAUCAGAUCAUUUCUCCUAAUAUAUAAUGCGUUAUAAGACCCACAACCUAUCAAAUCGAAGCACUACGAGUCUAAUUUUCAAUCAAAAAAACCUCACAUCAAACGGACAUCGGAGUAAAACGUUAUGACUGUUUUACCCCGGACUGUCAAGGCUGAAACCGGGUCACGAACCGGGUCGGGUCAAACAAGUGGUAUAAGUCGGUAAACUCGACUUUGAAGCCCUCAUAAACAAAUGGUAUAAGUCGGUAACCAGUAAUAGGAAGUCUGUCCCUCCUUUUAGCACGAAUUCUGGGGAAUUCCUAAGACGUCAAAUGUGAUAUUUUACUAUUCCAUUGCUAGAAAGACCUUAUGUAAAAGGCAUUGGGAUCAUAGCUGAAGUGUUUUCAUGAUGCUAUUAGGUUGAUAGUCCACUCAUUCGGUUAAAUAUGGUAUUUGAUAUCUAUAUAUGUCAUUUUGUCGACUUUCUUAACUAUGUCUAUAUAUAUGAAUUUUUAUUCGUCUUUGGGUAGUGUAACUAAAAAAAAUAAAGGCAUUUAGUAUUUGCGAUCAGUCAUUCUUCCUUGUUAAAGUGUAUUUUAAAAUCUCUGAAGUGACAUGUCGAUUUCCAAUAAUCUCAAAUAUAAAUUUUUAUUUAAACUACUAAAACACUUGAUUUUUGGAUAUACUUUCUUUUAUUAAAUAACAAGAAAUCAGAUAUAAGGACUAAGUGAAGCACCUUAAGCUUUUUAUGAACAUCUUCUGAGUUGAGUUAUCUCUCUAAAAGUCGAGUUAAGUUUUCAAGCUUAUUCAAAAGAAAAGAAAACAUAUGAGGUUCCACGAGACAACUGUAUGCGAUACGAAGGUGAUUAUGAGAUCAUGGGAAUAAGAGUACCUAUGAGCCAAGAUUGGCUAAGUUCUUGUUAUGGCCUAUUAUGAGCAUUCAAAGUUCAUAUCAUACAUGGUAUAUUAUGCAUGGACUUCAAGCUAUAAUCGGAGGCAAGGGGCCUAUUUGCCCGAAAAUCUUAUAUUGUACAGAUGGCCACAAGUUGGCAAUAUGAUACCGGUUAGCUACCGAAAGAGACCGUCGCUGCUAGCAUUUGAUUGGGUAUAUCAUGUAUUUUCAUCAAUAUAUGUAUUCACGACAUAUGAUUACACGAGCAUACUACACAUAUUUAAUUAUUAUGAGGUCAUAUGUCAUCCAUGGAGGCUAUCAGAGUUUCAGUGUCAGGUGGUAUCUCUAUUAUUUUUUUCAUCAUCUAUAUGUGAUUCUACUUUCUGCCUUACAUACCAGUACAUUUUUAUUCGUACUGAUGCCCCGUUGCCUGGGGACACUGCAUUUUUGUUUCGUGCGUGCAGGUCCAGGCAGGGACUUUGAUCGACCCCUCCGCUAGGAUUUCCAAGUUCAGCUGUGAGUUGGUAAGCUCCACCUCUUCCUGAAGCUGUCAUAGGAUGACUACUUUUGUUGUACAGUUUAGGUAUAGUCGGGGCCUUGUCUCGACAGUGCUUGUGACGCUCUUAGAGGCUAUUGUGGACAUAGUAUUUUUUGCAGCUUUCAGUCUCCAGCCCAUAAGCUUGGCACGUAUACAUAGGUGUGUAGGCAUGUAUGUCUCCAAUCGCGGCCUUGUCAACCAGCUAGUACUUUAUUAUUUUGGCUCGUCUACUUUUGGUUAUAUGGCUUAUUAUUAUUCAGGUCAUGACCUUUAUGGUCUAGGCUUAGUAUUUCAGAUGUUGUGCUGCCCGAUCUGUUGGGCCCCCAGUUUAGUUAGCUAGUAUAUUUAGUGGCUAACUCGGACAAAUACAGUAUCGAGGGCCAG